RNAcentral lists this non-coding RNA (131 nucleotides) under Corynebacterium capitovis DSM 44611. Its description in RNAcentral is "atpB RNA". It matches the Rfam family "atpB RNA". The record is from RNAcentral. Lineage: Bacteria; Bacillati; Actinomycetota; Actinomycetes; Mycobacteriales; Corynebacteriaceae.
CUGCCCCGCGGUCGCUGAUGUGCGACGGAGUCCGCCGCGGACGGCAGCAGUUUUUAAAGACGUCCAUCGCACCGCUCCCCGCGCCGACGGGGUGCGGCCCGAGAACGGGAGAGAACGCUGAGCGUUACAAC